Equus asinus (donkey) is the source of this 4369-nucleotide long non-coding RNA. The record is from Ensembl. Lineage: Eukaryota; Metazoa; Chordata; Mammalia; Perissodactyla; Equidae.
CCAUGCUGCUCUCGCGGAGGCCUGUCCUCCCGGAAGGGCUGCGUCUCCCAGGGCGGAGGAGAAGUCAGAACGGGAGUCUCUCAGGGCUGCUCGCCGGCUUUGCGAGGGCGGGGAGGAGGGUCAGGAGGGAAAGAGGGUCCCAGUUUGGCUUUUUCCGGCGGUGACGAUGAAGAGCUAUUUCUCUAGGCCUCCAGAACCCAGCGUCUAGGGACGCCCUCUCCACAGCGCCGCCACAGACCAAACCACCUCUGCCGGCGCCCAAGACGCAGUUGACUGUGUGCGCAUGCGCGGACCACGAACAUCAUCUCUGUCCGCCUUUCCCAGGCACGUGCCUUUCCCUCCUCCAGGCCUCCUCAGCUGACCAGGUUGAGGCUCCGGGCUAGUGCGCAGGCGCCGAUCAUUCUUUCCCCACCCUUUCAUCUCCUGGAGAGGGGAGAGCGAGAGCGCAAAGAACCCAGGGAAACUCUUAUAGGAAAACUAAGAGAUAACGUGCGGGAGAAGGCGGGGCUUCCUCCUCCGAAGGCUCGCAGGCAGAGCGCCACGCCUCCAGUGUUGGCGCCCCGCCUCGCCCUUUUCCUUUGGAAUAUCUUUGCUCUCUGGAUCCUUCUGGCAGUUCGGGUGGCUUUGUAAAGAAUCUCUUCCCGGGAAGGUGGGAAGACAGAGGACCACUCUGACUCGAACCAGAAGGCACAGGGCAUGAUGGGGCUGGUGCGGCGGACACAGCUCCGCUCUUCCGAGACCUGAACCUGGGCACCUCCUCAUGGCUCAACUCUUUCCGGGAGCUGGGAAGGCACAGGUCUCACAGGAGCUCAAUGCUCAUGGCAGAUCACCCCAGGAUGACCCCUGACUGGUCCCCCUGGACAUCUCUGCAUUGUCAGCACCAGGAACCUCUUCUCAGUAUACAUGUCCAACAACCUCAUCAUCAGGGAAUGUCUGCAGAGUCUGGAUUGGGGGAAAGGAAUUCCAAACUUUUGACGUGGUUCUCAAUGGCCCCAUUGCUCCUCCACAAGGGCCUCAAACAGGAAAAUGGCUAUACGUGUUCAGAGAAUGAAUAAAAGAAAGCAAGACGGAUAACUGGGUGACACCUGCUUCUGCUCCCGCAUAAUUAAUAUGGGAGUGCUGUGAGUGUGAAGAAAUGGACAUUCACAUACACUUGCAGUGGUGCAUUGGUGCCAUUUUUAUACAAGGUAAUGUGUAGGUUCCUCUCCUAAAUUUUUUGUCUUGAGAAAAAAUUCACAUACCUAAAAUUUACCAUUUUGAAGUGUGAGCCCAUGGGAAUGUGGCCCAUCCAGUCCUUCCAGAGUUCUACUGUGCUGGAGUAUAGACCCAGGGUGGCUAGAUUUCUGCAGAUCCUGUUAAGACGCAAAUUCUGACUUGGCAAGUGUGGGGUGGACCUGAAAGUCUGCAUCUAACAAGCUCUCAGGUGAUGCUGAUCACACUGGCCUGUGGAAUAUAUUUUCAAUACGAAGGCUAAUGGGGACCCCUGUCCCCUGAGAGGAUGACCCACCCAUCCCAGCAUUGACCUCUAUUGUAUCCUGUGUCCUGGCCUUGGGUUCUGUCAGUACCACAUAGAGAACCAGGAGUCCCAAACUCAGGGGAUUAUUUUCUCUUGGGACACAGAAAUCCAGCUGGGCACCAGGAUGUUCCCAGUGUCCUCAAAUGCUCUGGGAAUGCUGGAUUUACUCCUGGCAGGAAGAUCGCAGAGAUGACUCUGGGCAUGAGAAAGGGGCAAGCUGAGUGAUGACCAGUGAGGGUGCCCACCCUCUAUCUCCAGUGUCUCCAGCCUGGCCUCUGCUUUCAGGGAUAGACACUCAAUAUAGGGUGUCACAGGAGCUGCAAUUCUCGGGUGUGAAGGUAGAGGUUUCCCAUGUGUCCUGGGUGAGAGGACAGUGGUGGUGGGAGAUCAGGUGGCUGUGGGCUCCCUGAUCCUUGGGGGAAAGUUUCAGGGAGACCCCCCCACCCAAGCAUGUUGGUUGAGGUGUGGCUCAGAGCCUGUCUAUUUGCUCCCUGAUCAUCCUGGGGGCCCCUGUCCUCUGACUGGCUGACUUUCCUGUGGUCAUUCUGCCUUCCCCAUGGGUGGUACCAGGCAGGGAGUGGGGAGAUGCACACAGACCCCUGACAGAUCAGGGUGCUCUGAGGCCCUUAGAAGGAACGGAUAGGAAGGACCCAGAAGGGUCUUCCUGAGCAAGGGAUAGAAGUCAGGCUCCUUCUUCACCUCCUUAGCCAAAGUCAGGUUCAUGAGUUAAUUUUCUGUGUGUCCCAAUUUCGCCCCCCAAAGGGAAUGCUGCCAGUGUCAGGGGCUGCACCAAGGAUGCUGACCAGGCUCUAGAAGGUGUGCACUGGCACUGGGCCCUGGACAGACAUGAGUUCUGAUCUCCAGGCUGAAGGUCCUCUAAGCCUAGGUCCUGGUCACUGCUGGUUGCGAGGCUGCCCAACUCCAUCCCAGUGUAGGGUGAGCCCAGGGAAAGGACAGGCAUUGUCCAGUGGACUCCUAAUCCAGUGUCCUGUGCUGCCUGGUUGAUGUGCUGCCUCCGGAGAAGCUCUCUGUUCUGGUGGUUUCAAAGGAAGGGUGAGGGGUCUCUUGAGGCUUUCAAGAGAGAGUGAAGGGCUGGUCCCCAGAAUGACCUGUGUUUCCCCAAUCACAGCACUGGGGCAUGGCAUCCGAGUCAUCUGUGUCCCUGUCUGUCAUCUCCUCUAGGCCUUUCCACAGGGCCCAGGACCUAGAUCAGUUCCACAUGAAGACUCAGACAGGGGAUCCUGUGGGUUCCUCUGUUAGGAGAGGGGAGGCUCCAUGGGACCCUCAGCCCCUUUGACAUGGAAGCAAACACAGGUCCUGGUUCUCCUAUCCCAUCCUGCAUUGGAAGUUUCCCUUGUUCACUCUGCUGCCUUGGGCUGGUGAGAUGUCUUCAGGGGACUACAACUAGUGUCCCCACAGACUUGAGACCCUUGAGGUGAGAAGUCACCCCCUGAUUACUCUGAGGUCAGAGUGGGGCUCCCUCCUCCCCUUAGGGUAACUUUACCUGGGGUGGAGAAUCCAGAGUUUGUGUCAGGUCAGGUCUCUGUGAGAAGAGGAAGAACACAGGCUAUCAGCCCAGGCCGUCCAGGGAGAGAAGUCCCUCACAAGGUAGACAUGGGAAGGGGGUGGGAUUUUCUGGAUGAAUGGGGAUCGAACCCCUCACUGUUAGGAGGCCCCUGUCCUCCCUCCUGACUCAACAAGGGGUAAAGGCCUCUCCCCGGGAUAGCCACAGGCCUCCCAUGCUGAUGCCAAUACCCCUGUGUGUACAUGGAAUGUGCUGUGACCUCCAGGUGUCAUACAGGAGUGAAGGGCUUCCAUUGUGUGGUUUCCUCAACCAUUUGAGAAAUUUAUUUGACAUGUUUAUUAAGCAUCUGUUACUGGGUGCAGACAGGGAUGGCUGGAUACCUGGCCUGGCUUAGGUCUGCUCCUUACAGACAUUGUCGCUGGAGUGCAGGCUACUGUUCAGAGUCCCCACUUGGGCACAAGGAAGGGAUCCGAUGUCUCCAUGUCUCAUCAGGGAUUAAUUGUGGUGGCCUGCUCUCUGGAUCUGCCUCCUGCUCUCAUUUCCAGUUCCUGUCAAACCUCUGCCUCCCAUCCUGGCACUGCCUGAGGCCUCAGCACUGCCUCUCUGGCACUGGGGUCUGGACACUGUCAGGUACUGAGCUGACCAAACCCUCUGUCUCAUGUGACCCUCCUGGUGUUGGAGAGAAGGGCCAGGUGAUGGGAUCAGGGCUGCCUCCUGGGAAAGCACCUCCAAAUCUCGGUGUCUUUAUAAAUCCAUGGAGGCAAAAUGCAAGGUUAUAUGAGAAGAACUGCAUAAGUGCACCAUGACCCAGAGGGUCACUGGAACAGAAUUGUUGACUAGAAUCACAGGGUACAGCCUGCCAGGGGUGCCAGAAUCUUCUAAGAGCAGCUACUGUGUGCCAGGUAUUGUGCUGGGUGCUUGACACAAAGAUGCAUGCGGUCCUUACAACAACCUUAUGAGGCAGGUACUCUUAGUGUACCUAUUUCACAGAGGAGCAAAGCAAGGCUCACAGAUACUGUUACUUGCCCAUGUCACCCAGCACCCAGUGAGUACCUGGUACCAUAAGGAGCUAGAGUGACAUGUGUGCCUCUAGGGGCUCACUUGUCACCUUAUCCUACAAGGAAAACCCCACUGCUUAAUCGUCCACGUGCCUAAAAUUCAAAUCACUUUUAAUUGUUUUUGUGUAUAUUUGUUUGCAUCCAUUUAAAUACUGUAAAAUUAAAAACAAUUUAAAAUAAAACAUAUCCAAUUGGAAUAACUUUCAUGUGUUAGUUGUGCUUUAAAAUCUUUAAAAUGUUAAAAAAUGGUGGGAACAAAAUGGAUCCCUG